This is a non-coding RNA of Haemonchus placei, 75 nucleotides long. Lineage: Eukaryota; Metazoa; Nematoda; Chromadorea; Rhabditida; Trichostrongylidae. The record is from Rfam.
GGCCCAAAUUUGAAGUAGAGUAGAUUAGUAGUAUCAGCUGAUCCUUCUUAACUACUGUCUUUCAAAUUUGAGCCC